GACAGAGGUCCCAAGCGUUAGGCGGAAUCACUGGGCUUAAAGCGUGUGUAGGCGGAUUUGUAAGUACCUUGUGAAAUCCCACGGCUCAACCGUGGAACUGCUUGGUAUACUGCUUAUCUUGGGUCAUCUAGGGGCGAGCGGAACAAACGGUGGAGCGGUGAAAUGCGUAGAUAUCGGUUGGAACGCCAAUGGUGAAAACAGCUCGCUGGGGAUGUACCGACGCUGAGACACGAAAGCCAGGGGAGCGAACGGG
RNAcentral lists this ribosomal RNA (253 nucleotides) under uncultured bacterium. RNAcentral describes it as "partial 16S ribosomal RNA". It matches the Rfam family "Bacterial small subunit ribosomal RNA", at positions 524 to 776 of the family's 1533-position model. The record is from RNAcentral.